GGGCCUGAGUCGUGUAAUAAACCAAAAAACCUCUGGGCCAUCGAGACACAGCUCUCACCUAAGCUUCUGCCAUAUUGUAAUAGUGAGUUCUAACAAGGAAGCUUGUCGAGUAAAACACUAAUAUUCAUCCCCCUCCUCCUGUACUGCUGACCGGCAGCCAUUUUAAACACUAAUAUCCAUCCCCCUCCUCCUGUACUGCUGACCGGCAGCCAUUUUGAAACUCGUUGUAGUUAAACACUAAUAUCUUCCCCCUCCUCCUGUACUGCUGACCGGCAGCCAUUUUGAAACUCGUUGUAGUUAAACACUAAUAUCUUCCCCCUCCUCCUGCACUGCUGACCGGCAGCCAUUUUGAAACUAGUUGUAGUUAAACACUAAUAUCUUCCCCCUCCUCCUGUACUGCUGACCGGCAGCCAUUUUGAAACUCGUCGUAGUAAAACACUAAUAUUCAUCCCCCUCCUCCUGUACUGCUGACCGGCAGCCAUUUUGAAACUCGUUGUAGUUAAACACUAAUAUCUUCCCCCCCUCCUCCUGCACUGCUGACCGGCAGCCAUUUUAAUGACAACCUUUCCUGGUAGAGCAGGGAGAAGUCUCCCUACCAGCGGACAGAUGUGGUUCUAUCUCUGUGGAUGUUUGUGUAAUAUUUGCUGUUAAAAAUGAAGGAUAUUUUGUCAAAGGGAAAAAGACUGGUUGUGUGUUUUUUGUCUCCGGUGUUCAGUGUAUUUGCAGAUGAUAACGUUAAUAUAACAGUAUACAACAGGUUCAUGUUAAUUUCACUAAGCCUGGGUUCCAUCGAAGGGAAGAGUCCCUGUUUGAUUCCACCAUUGUGAUUCUACUGGUCUCUAGUGGUUUCUACUGGUCUCUAUGGGUUUCUACUGGUCUCUAGUGGUUUCUACUGGUCUCUAGUGGUUUCUACUGGUCUCUAGUGGUUUCUACUGGUCUCUAUGGGUUUCUACUGGUCUCUAGUGGUUUCUACUGGUCUCUAGUGGUCUCUAGUGGUCUCUAUUGGUUUCUACUGGUCUCUAGUGGUCUCUACUGGUCUCUACUGGUUUCUACUGGUCUCUAGUGGUCUCUAUGGGUUUCUACUGGUCUCUAGUGGUCUCUGCUGGUCUCUAGUGGUUUCUACUGGUUUCUACUGGUUGCUAGUGGUCUCUAGUGGUCUCUAGUGGUUUCUACUGGUCUCUAGUGGUCUCUACUGGUCUCUACUGGUCUCCAGUGGUCUCUGCUGGUCUCUAGUGGUCUCUACUGGUUUCUACUGGUUUCUACUGGACUCUAGUGGUCUCUACCGGUUUCUACUGUUUUCUAGUGGUUUUUACUGGUCUCUAGUGGUCUCUACUGGAUGUCCACCUGAACAUUUUUCUGACACUGCAGUGUUGCACUUUCUUAUCUACAAAGUAGAUUAUUAUACGUUUUGAUAAUCAAAUUAUUUCUAUAAUAAAAAAAUAAAAAAUAAAAACAUCUGAAUAU
This is a long non-coding RNA of Oncorhynchus keta (chum salmon), 1464 nucleotides long. RefSeq lists it as uncharacterized. The record is from RefSeq and is a predicted model, not a curated record. Lineage: Eukaryota; Metazoa; Chordata; Actinopteri; Salmoniformes; Salmonidae. The transcript has 2 exons.